UGAGGAAUAUUGGUCAAUGGGCGAGAGCCUGAACCAGCCGAGUAGCGUGCAGGAUGACGGCCCUAUGGGUUGUAAACUGCUUUUAUGUGGGGAUAAAGUGCGUGACGUGUCAUGCAUUGCAGGUACCACAUGAAUAAGGACCGGCUAAUUCCGUGCCAGCAGCCGCGGUAAUACGGAAGGUCCGGGCGUUAUCCGGAUUUAUUGGGUUUAAAGGGAGCGUAGGCUGUCUAUUAAGCGUGUUGUGAAAUUUACCGGCUCAACCGGUGGCUUGCAGCGCGAACUGGUCGACUUGAGUAUGCAGGAAGUAGGCGGAAUUCAUGGUGUAGCGGUGAAAUGCUUAGAUAUCAUGACGAACUCCGAUUGCGCAGGCAGCUUACUGUAGCAUAACUGACGCUGAUGCUCGAAAGUGCGGGUAUCAAACAGG
RNAcentral lists this ribosomal RNA (424 nucleotides) under Fusobacteriota bacterium. Its description in RNAcentral is "Fusobacteria bacterium partial 16S ribosomal RNA". It matches the Rfam family "Bacterial small subunit ribosomal RNA", at positions 355 to 776 of the family's 1533-position model. The record is from RNAcentral. Lineage: Bacteria; Fusobacteriati; Fusobacteriota.